AAUCAACGCUGGCGGCGUGCCUAACACAUGCAAGUCGAGCGAGAAAGGGGCUUCGGCCCUGAGUAAAGCGGCGCACGGGUGAGUAACACGUGGGUAAUCUGCCCUAGAGUGGGGAAUAACACCGGGAAACCGGUGCUAAUACCGCAUACGCUCAUGAAGUCUUCGGAUUUUGUGACGAAAGGAGCAAUCCGCUCUUGGAGGAGCCCGCGGCUGAUUAGCUAGNGGUAAGGUAAUGGCUUACCAAGGCAACGAUCAGUAUCCGGUCUGAGAGGACGGUCGGACACACUGGAACUGAGACACGGUCCAGACUCUACGGGAGGCAGCAGUGGGGAAUUUUUGGCAAUGGGGGAAACCCGUGACCAAGCAACGCCGCGUGGAUGAUGAAGUAUC
This 390-nucleotide ribosomal RNA is filed under the name uncultured bacterium. RNAcentral's name for it is "bacterial SSU rRNA". It matches the Rfam family "Bacterial small subunit ribosomal RNA", at positions 32 to 417 of the family's 1533-position model. The record is from RNAcentral.